GCCCGCGGGCCUGGCCCGGAAAUGCCCAUUGCGGGGCGGGAUUGGGUAAAGAUAUUAUGGCCCGUUUAGUUGCGGGUCUUGCGGGACAGGACCGCGAUGGUACUGGGCCGAAGCGGGACGGGCCAAAGCGGGAUGCGGGGAAACAUUGAGGCCCGCUACAGUUUUCUCGUUUGUCUCUUUGGUGAUUUACCGAUAAUAGAGCUAAACGGUGAACAGGUGAUGACGAUAGCGAUUCUUGCUCUCUGUGUUUCUUCUUCUUCGAUCGAGUGAUCGACGACGACAAAGCAUCUUCUUCUUCUCCUCUGUACAGUAGAUCGACUUGCAUGUCCAGAGUUAUUUAGCUCGUGCCUCUCUGUUUACACGAUUUUAGAUUUCUGUUCGUCCUUUCAAAGGUAAGUAAUCUUCUUCCUUGUUCUGUCUCUAUCCCUGUGAAUGUGUUCUGUGAAUCUUCUUAGUUAGAUUAUGUCUCUCUGCGAAAGUAUUUUUUCCUAACAGUGUAAUUAUAUAUAUAUAUAUAUAUAUAUAUAUAUAUAUAUAUAUAUAUAUAUUGUGUUGUUAUGUUUUGUUUAUGUAUUAGAUGGCUUGGUUGUAUAAGCGUUGUUCUCUUUUUGUUCUGCUUACUCUCGGUUGCUAGUUAUUAAUUAAAAAAUUCAACACAACUUUACUCUUGGUUGUUUCUGUAUUGUUCUGUUUUUGUUUCGGUAUUGAUAUAUAUAUAUAUAUAUAUAUAUAUAUAUAUUGUGUCGUUCUUCUUUUGUUUCUGUAUUAGAUGGCUUUGUUGUUUUUUAAGUAUUGUUCUGUUUUUGAUUCUUGUUGAUAACACGGUUCAAGCACUCUUGUUAUCUUGUUUGAUAACAGACUGGUCUUCUUUUUUAUUAAAUAUCGCUUACACUUGUUUUGUUUUUCACGCAUGAUCAUGAAUUCAUGAGUCGAUACUUGUUUGAUGGAGUGAUGUUGGACAAGGAGAGGAGAGACUGAUAUUAUUCCCUUCUGCCUUCGGGUUGCUUCAGGACUUGAGGUGACACAGGUCCCAAGCCUUGAUGAAGAUUGCUGGCCCGCGGGCCGACCCGCAUACCCGCUGCUAUAGGGCGGGUCGGGAUUGGUCAUAGGUUUCAGAGACCGCAGCCCGCCGCGGUACGACCCGCAGAGACUCGAAUGAAACUGAGCCCGCGACGGGGCGGGUCAUUUGGUUGCGGGAGAGCCCAAAUGCCAUCACUAGUUUUUUUCAUUUUUUAUGCUGUAUGUUUAAAUAUUAUUUAUAAUUUUCGAAAAUUAGUAAUAUUAAAAUGUAAAACUAUAUUUUAUGCCACGUGUCAUCUUUCGAAAGAAGUUUUUUUUGCUUA
Molecule: long non-coding RNA, 1343 nt
Organism: Brassica rapa (field mustard)
Lineage: Eukaryota; Viridiplantae; Streptophyta; Magnoliopsida; Brassicales; Brassicaceae
Source: RefSeq, a predicted model, not a curated record